GACGAACGCUGGCGGCGUGCUUAAUACAUGCAAGUCGAACGGAAAGGCGCUGCUUUUGCGGGGUGCUCGAGUGGCGAACGGGUGAGUAACACGUGAGUAACCUGCCCUUGACUUUCGGAUAACUUUACGAAACUGGGGCUAAUACCGGAUAUGAUCUCCUGCUGCAUGGUGGGGGAUGGAAAGAUUCGGCGGUUGUGGAUCGUUUGGCGGGUUCUCCGCUUGAUUGGGGGGUAGGGGCUUUACAAGGCUUCGAGGGGUAGCCGGCCUUAGAGGGUGACCGGCCACAAGGGGACUGAGAGACGGCCCAGAAGCCUACGGGAGGCAACAGGGGGGAGUAUUGCACAGUGGCCGGAAGCCUGAUGCAGCAACGCCGGGUGCGGGAUGACGGGCUUUGGGUUGUAAACCGCUUUCGCCUGUGACGAAGCGUGAGUGACGGUAAUGGGUAAGGAAGCAACGGCUAACUACGUG
RNAcentral lists this ribosomal RNA (468 nucleotides) under uncultured bacterium. RNAcentral's name for it is "partial 16S ribosomal RNA". It matches the Rfam family "Bacterial small subunit ribosomal RNA", at positions 28 to 507 of the family's 1533-position model. The record is from RNAcentral.